UACGGAGGAUGCAAGCGUUAUCCGGAAUGAUUGGGCGUAAAGCGUCCGCAGGUGGCAGUUCAAGUCUGCUGUUAAAGGUCGGGGCUCAACCCCGAAAUGGCGGUGGAAACUGAACAGCUAGAGUGCGGUGGGGGCAGAGGGAAUUCCUGGUGUAGCGGUGAAAUGCGUAGAGAUCAGGAAGAACACCGGUGGCGAAAGCGCUCUGCUAGGCCGCAACUGACACUCAUGGACGAAAGCUAGGGGAGCGAAUGGG
Molecule: ribosomal RNA, 253 nt
Filed under: uncultured Chroococcidiopsis sp.
Lineage: Bacteria; Bacillati; Cyanobacteriota; Cyanophyceae; Chroococcidiopsidales; Chroococcidiopsidaceae
Description: partial 16S ribosomal RNA
Rfam family: Bacterial small subunit ribosomal RNA
Source: RNAcentral